AUAAAAACAAUAAAAUAAGAAAACUAAAAGCAUCGUUUUCUCCGCCCUGCAAAAUCGAGGCUCAUUUCGCAUCAAAGCUCCUGUCAAUAAAUGGCAAAGUCUUCCAAAAUCCGACAGUGGAACGCCUGGAAAUAAGGAAUUUGUUGAGACAGUCAUCCAUAUUUCAAGAUUUUUUCAACCUAGUUGUUGUCACAAAGAAAUGAUUAUGGAGGUUGACUGUACCGACGAUCAGCAUCGACCACUUCCACAACUUGCAAAGGCGUAUCUUCAACCCACAACAAAUCUGCUUCAUUUCACAAGGCCUCAACAGCCAUCGCAUGUGCUGCUCGAUUACCUUCAUGCGCAAUAAAUUGGAUUCGGCAAGAAUGAAAAAGCCUUACCAAAUUCUGCACAUCCCAGGUAAAAGGUCUUGAUUUCGAGUAAUCCUUACUUGUUUGUUGAAUAUUUUGAACAAUCAACCUAGAAUCACUCUCGAGGAUAACCUUUGUAAAUCCCAACUCUAGAGCAAACUAAAGCCCAUGAAAAACUGCUAUUGCUUCUGCAAUUAAUACCGAAUGAGUCAGAUAUCCUUGCAUCAACAUUAAUCUUAACCUACCCUUGCGGAGGAGGCAUCCAUUUAACCAUGGAUCUUGGCUUGGGGUGCUUCAGAUUCAAAACGCAACCUCGAUACUCCAUACUAAAACUGCUAAUAAAGAUCCGGAAGAUUCAAAUACGAUGCUAGAUCGAGGAAAGGAAAAAGUUCGGGAUUAGUAGAUUUUUACUGUUUACAAACAGGUAUCAAGUGUUAAGAGCUCGGAGGUCGGAUUUGGUCGGAGACACAUCACAAUGUCAACCUCAGGAUUUCGGUAUAUAAAGAAACUUUAUUUUGGAAAUCAAUGGCAUGUAUAAGCUAACAAAGUAAAUGUUAACGUGAAAUGAAUGUAAAGUUAGCCAUUAGUAUGGUUAACAAACCUGGUUUUAGAUAUGUGAUGACGUUAUCUUAUAAAUAUGCAUGAAUUUAUCUUGAAAA
Gossypium arboreum is the source of this 1009-nucleotide long non-coding RNA. RefSeq lists it as uncharacterized. NCBI's taxonomy places the organism in Eukaryota, Viridiplantae, Streptophyta, Magnoliopsida, Malvales, Malvaceae. The transcript has 4 exons. The record is from RefSeq and is a predicted model, not a curated record.